CCACCACGGGGCAGUUUUAUUGUUCAUUUUUCGAAAAUCGGCCCUCCCCGAGUGCGUCUCUGGUGAUUGCUGCACUAUUUUCGCAUGAAGUGGGCACACACACACACAUAUAUACGCGUUGUAAGUUGUCUCGCG
This is a non-coding RNA of Caenorhabditis elegans, 135 nucleotides long. Lineage: Eukaryota; Metazoa; Nematoda; Chromadorea; Rhabditida; Rhabditidae. The record is from Ensembl.